GAGGUAAUUUACUGAAAUGCACAGCGAUUACCUGCUCACCCAGCCCUGAUGUAAUUAAAAAUGGCAGGCUAGGGGCUCUGUUUCCCCCGGCUCUGGCAGAGAAACCUGGGUUUCGACUUGUGAAGCUUGAGGUUGGAUGUGGGAAUUGGCUUGGAGUCAUAGGCGAUGAGAGGGACAUUAGGAUAUUAUGAAGCCCGUGAACUCAACUCCUGAGAAGGACGCAGCAGAGCGAGAGAAAAGAUGGAAUAAAAAGGCCUACCUCAUUGGGCUCGUGUGGGUGAGGAGAACUGAAGAGUCUGAGAGCGCGGCACGAGCCAGAGGCUACGGAAAACACUGCCCUCCUACACUCCACCUUGGAGAGACCCAGAAAAGAACAAGCUUCAUUUGUAAAAAAGGAAAACAACUCAGGCAAUGGGGGUGGCUUAAAGAACUUGGAAUAACUUGCAGUGUCUUGCAGUAUUGUGAAACCAGCAACUUGUUCACAAUUCUUCUGAAUUUCUUGGGAAAUUUGAAGUGGAGUACCUGUACCAACAUGAAAUGACACGAAUUUAAGUGACGCUCAACAACGAAAAGCAAAAAGAACCAAAGAGGAAGCAACUGAAACAACAUCUGGAUGUAUUUAAAAAUAUACAAUGCCUCCAAAAUCAGGUGUCAUUAAUGAAAAUUCUGAAGAAAUGCCACCGGACAUAGCCAACGCACCUACGCUGUUGUUAUUCAUUUCCUGCUUUUCACAGAAAACAAUUUUGUUGCAUGGAAGAUCGUGAACUUCAAAGGGCAGAGGGGAAACUGUCCCUUGGCCUCUACCCCUCCAAGGCCCCACUUUUUUGUCAACACUCCUUGGACGCAGCAGAAGUAUGAACAUAAUAUGGUCCUGAAUGAGGCUGAGUCUUUGGGCGCAGAAGACCCGGGUUAAUAAAAAUAGGAAGGUAAGAAAAGAAAAGAAAAAUCAAGACACAUCAUAGGACUAAAUUCCUAUUAUUUAUCCACUCAGGAUUGACCACCCCUUUGGGCCAGAUAGUUGUACCCCCAUGUACCAGGUGGGCACAUGAAGACACAAGAAGUGCUGUGAUGGUUCAUUUUGCACGUCACCUUGCGUGGAGUAUGCCAACUCAUUGUUUGGUCAAACACUAGUCUGGACAUGGUGGUAAAGGUAUUUUUUAGAUGAGAUUAACACUUAAAUCAGUAAAGCAGGUUACCCACCAUACUACGGGUGGGCCCUGUCCAAUCAGUUGAAGGCAUUAAGAACAAAGAUUGAGGUUUCCUAAAGAAGAUGGAAUUCUCCUUGAGACUACAACAUAGAAACCCUAUCUGAGUUUCCAGCCUGUUGCCCUGUGGAAUUCAAACUCAGGACUCCGGUCUAUGACAUUAACCCUCACUUAACUUUUCAGCCUGCCAGCCUGCCCUAUGGAUUUCGGACUUGCCAGCCACACAAUUCCUUAAAAUAAAUCUCUCCGUCUCUGUCUGUUUC
Molecule: long non-coding RNA, 1468 nt
Filed under: Homo sapiens (human)
Lineage: Eukaryota; Metazoa; Chordata; Mammalia; Primates; Hominidae
Description: downregulated RNA in cancer, inhibitor of cell invasion and migration
Source: RNAcentral